RNAcentral lists this transfer RNA (71 nucleotides) under Anadara broughtonii. RNAcentral's name for it is "Scapharca broughtonii tRNA-Tyr". The record is from RNAcentral. Lineage: Eukaryota; Metazoa; Mollusca; Bivalvia; Arcoida; Arcidae.
GACCCGUUAGUUAAGGAACACCGAACUAUAGUUUCGAGAUUGCAAGGAUAAGUAAGCUGUUGCACGGGUUU